This 441-nucleotide ribosomal RNA is filed under the name Triticum aestivum (bread wheat). Its description in RNAcentral is "partial small subunit ribosomal RNA". The record is from RNAcentral. Lineage: Eukaryota; Viridiplantae; Streptophyta; Magnoliopsida; Poales; Poaceae.
AUGUAUACAAUUAGUAUAUUUAUUACUAGCACCCCGCAAAAAAAGUAUCUUUAUUACCAGCACAAUGGCCUGGUCGUGGUCACGACAGCAUGCGUCGAGGUCUUGAUGGCGCCACGACUCUUCUUUCGCAUCUCCACCAAGUUGAGAGACGGUGCGACGGCGGCGAACCUGUCAUUGACCUUUAAGUCUGUCACCUUUCACGCCUACCACGCGGUGGCCAACGUCGCCCCGAGCAUCGACUUCUUCAGCUACGUCAUGGUAGAUGCCUCGCUCUCCCUCGGAAACACCAUGAUGGCCACGAUCGACCCUGCCCUGCCUGCCGACAGGGUCGCCAUCACUGGAAUCACCUUCUCGUCCAGCCCGCGCUCGCCGACCGCCUCCCACGACCCGCUCCACAACUACCCGGCUCCUCCUUCCAUGAAAAUGCAAUAUAUUUCAUAG